CCUACGGGAGGCAGCAGUGAGGAAUAUUGGUCAAUGGACGGAAGUCUGAACCAGCCAUGCCGCGUGCAGGAAGACGGCUCUAUGAGUUGUAAACUGCUUUUGUACAAGGGUAAACCUGAAUACGUGUAUUCAGCUGAAAGUACCUUACGAAUAAGGAUCGGCUAACUCCGUGCCAGCAGCCGCGGUAAUACGGAGGAUCCAAGCGUUAUCCGGAUUUAUUGGGUUUAAAGGGUGCGUAGGCGGAUUGAUAAGUUAGAGGUGAAAUGUCCGAGCUUAACUCGGGAACUGCCUCUAAUACUGUUGAUCUCGAGAGUAGGUGAGGUAGGCGGAAUGUGUGGUGUAGCGGUGAAAUGCUUAGAGAUCGUGCAGAACACCGAUUGCGAAGGCAGCUUACCAAUCUAUAUCUGACGUUGAGGCACGAAAGCGUGGGUAGCAAACAGGAUUAGAUACCCUUGUAGUC
This 460-nucleotide ribosomal RNA is filed under the name uncultured bacterium. Its description in RNAcentral is "partial 16S ribosomal RNA". It matches the Rfam family "Bacterial small subunit ribosomal RNA", at positions 338 to 795 of the family's 1533-position model. The record is from RNAcentral.